RNAcentral lists this long non-coding RNA (616 nucleotides) under Dromaius novaehollandiae (emu). RNAcentral's name for it is "lncRNA (ENSDNVG00000004578.1)". The record is from RNAcentral. Lineage: Eukaryota; Metazoa; Chordata; Aves; Casuariiformes; Dromaiidae.
CAAUAUUAGCAGGAUYGUGACAAAACCAAAGGCUGCUUUGCUGGGUGCUGGUACCUACUGCCUUGCAGUGAGACAGCAAUUUUUUCCUGCGUGACAGAAGAUGGGAUUUCAUCCAGCACCUGAAAAGGAGGUGAGCGCUAGCUACUCUGCAUCUCCCCUCCCUUUGAGUCACUGAAGAACGAAGAACGUCAGAGGACUGCUGUGACCACGGGGCCUCUUGGGCAGUGGCAUCUUGGCUGAGGAACCAGACUCUCAYGGGGGGACUACAGCUCCCAUAGGGCACUGCAGCUGCCUGUCUGAACCAAAACGCACAGGUUUGAGCUGAGAAUGGUUUUCGGCUUCUGAUGGCAAACCAGAAUCGUUUAUGCAUCCGUCAACUAGUAAGUCCCUCUGUAUGUGGGAUGUUCACCGUGGGACCUGGGGUGUUUGCGCUGGGGAAGAGAGACCCGAGUUCUCAAGCGGCAGCUACGCAACCAGGAUACUCGCGGAGGAGGGAAUUCUUCUCCCCACUGCUAUGCAAGCACUCUCCAACGUCAGCAUUUCGGCUGGGAGAGGGAACUUCAGGCAAAUUCUCACACACAAACACGCACCCUCAAAGCAAAACACACAAAUUGCC